CAGAAGCUCUAAAGGAAAAAGACGUUGAUUAUCUUUCUUCCAUAGAAAUCUUAAUCAUUGACCACGCAGAUGUUAUGUUGAUGCAGAAUUGGUCCCAUGUGAAUACUGUUGUUGAACAACUGAAUAAGCUGCCAUGUAAGCAACAUGGAA
Salvia miltiorrhiza (redroot sage) is the source of this 150-nucleotide long non-coding RNA. RefSeq lists it as uncharacterized. The transcript is spliced from 3 exons. Lineage: Eukaryota; Viridiplantae; Streptophyta; Magnoliopsida; Lamiales; Lamiaceae. The record is from RefSeq and is a predicted model, not a curated record.